CUGAGCCGGGCGUCGAAGAUCCAGGCCGGCGGAGAGCGCGGUCCCCUGAGCUGUGGGCUUGUGAAAGGUGGCUCAGUUUUACCCUCGCCGUACGUUAACACGUCUCACUGAGCAUAUGUUGCGCUUAAUAAUCGAGAAAUACUGCAUCUUUUCAAAACGUUCGUCAUACUUUUAAACGUUUGCCCAAACGUGUGGUUGCGACUGGAAAUGGGGCGGUGAGGUUUUGCCUUUGGAAAACAAGAUACGGGACAGUGCCCAGUUUCCACUCAUCCUACAUGUGGGGAUGUUGGUGAUCACCACCCUGUACAUCAGGUUCCGGGCCUCGGGCUACCUCAAGUUUGGGGCCACCACCCAGGCAGAUGCAGGAAGCUUCAAAUGGUGAGCUACAGCUGAGAGCUGUCUGCCUGGGGCCAGGAGUUGGUGUGAGGAUCCCGAGAGGUUGUACGAGUCUGUCAAGCUCCUCUCCUUGGAUGAUAUUUACCCCACCAACCCCCCACAGUUCUGUGUCCCGUCAGAGAUCAUCGUGCACUUCGCUCUUUCCCAGAUACUGAAGCUCUGGACCUUCGUGGUAGACCUGGGCAUAUGUGCUACCAUGAUCUGUCUGACAUGUCUUCGUUGUGGCACACAGGAUCUUCACUGUGGCAUGCGGGAUCUUUAGUUGUGACAUGCAGACUCUUAGUUGUGGCAUGUGGACUCAGUUGCAGCCUGCAGGCUUAGAGCAUCCUGCGGCAUGCACGCAGGAUCUAUUUCUCCAACCAGGGAUUGAACCCAGGCCCCCUGCAUUGGGAGCGCGGAGUCUCAUGUACUGCACCACCAGGGAAGUCCUGUGGAGAAGACU
Long non-coding RNA from Balaenoptera acutorostrata (minke whale), 838 nucleotides. RefSeq lists it as uncharacterized. NCBI's taxonomy places the organism in Eukaryota, Metazoa, Chordata, Mammalia, Artiodactyla, Balaenopteridae. The transcript is spliced from 5 exons. The record is from RefSeq and is a predicted model, not a curated record.